This 253-nucleotide ribosomal RNA is filed under the name uncultured bacterium. RNAcentral's name for it is "partial 16S ribosomal RNA". It matches the Rfam family "Bacterial small subunit ribosomal RNA", at positions 524 to 776 of the family's 1533-position model. The record is from RNAcentral.
UACGAAGGGGGCUAGCGUUGUUCGGAAUCACUGGGCGUAAAGGGCGCGUAGGCGGCUUUGUAAGUCGGGGGUGAAAGCCUGUGGCUCAACCACAGAAUUGCCUUCGAUACUGCAUGGCUUGAGACCGGAAGAGGUAAGUGGAACUGCGAGUGUAGAGGUGAAAUUCGUAGAUAUUCGCAAGAACACCAGUGGCGAAGGCGGCUUACUGGUCCGGUUCUGACGCUGAGGCGCGAAGGCGUGGGGAGCGAACGGG